RNAcentral lists this ribosomal RNA (385 nucleotides) under uncultured bacterium. RNAcentral describes it as "bacterial SSU rRNA". It matches the Rfam family "Bacterial small subunit ribosomal RNA", at positions 30 to 418 of the family's 1533-position model. The record is from RNAcentral.
AUUGAACGCUGGCGGCAUGCCUUACACAUGCAAGUCGAACGGCAGCGCGGGGCAACCUGGCGGCGAGUGGCGAACGGGUGAGUAAUAUAUCGGAACGUGCCCUGGAGUGGGGGAUAACGUAGCGAAAGUUACGCUAAUACCGCAUACGAUCUACGGAUGAAAGUGGGGGAUCGCAAGACCUCAUGCUCGUGGAGCGGCCGAUAUCUGAUUAGCUAGUUGGUGGGUAAAAGCCCACCAAGGCGACGAUCUGUAGCUGGUCUGAGAGGACGACCAGCCACACUGGAACUGAGACACGGUCCAGACUCCUACGGGAGGCAGCAGUGGGGAAUUUUGGACAAUGGGCGCAAGCCUGAUCCAGCAAUGCCGCGUGCAGGAUGAAGGCCUU